AGCUCCAAUAGCGUAUAUUAAAGUUGUUGCAGUUAAAACGCUCGUAGUCGGAUUUCGGGGCGGGGCCGCCGGUCUGCCGAUAGGUAUGCAGUGCGCGUCCUUUUUCCCGGAGACGGCUGCUACUCUUAACUGAGCGGUGGUCGGAGACGGGAUGUUUACUUAAAAAAAUCAGAGUGUUUCAAGCAGGCAGUCGCUCUUGCAUGGAUUAGCAUGGGAUAAUGAAAUAGGACUCUGGUGACCAGUCUGGUGCUAUUUCGGUGGUUUCGAGCACCGGAGUAAUGAUUAACAGGGACAGUCAGGGGCACUCGUAUUCCGCCGAGAGAGGUGAAAUUCUUAGACCCAGCGGAAGACGAACCACUGCGAAAGCAUUUGCCAGGGACGUUUUCA
Molecule: ribosomal RNA, 387 nt
Filed under: Isochrysidales sp.
Lineage: Eukaryota; Haptophyta; Isochrysidales
Description: SSU rRNA
Rfam family: Eukaryotic small subunit ribosomal RNA
Source: RNAcentral